UAUAGUAAGAAAUUCUACACUGUGUAGUCACGAAUACAAUACUCAAAGUGACUACAACACAUUCAAAAGGAACAACACUCUUUUGAUUUUCACCUUACAAAAAUAUCUCGCACGCUCUAUUUUUCUUAUAUGGUCUAUGAAAUACCUCACUUUGCUCUCAAAUAUUUUUUUUCUAUCUAACUUGGCGUGUUCUACAAAUGAACAAAAAUGUUCUAUUUAUAGGAAGAGAAA
RNAcentral lists this unclassified non-coding RNA (231 nucleotides) under Hevea brasiliensis (rubber tree). The record is from RNAcentral. Lineage: Eukaryota; Viridiplantae; Streptophyta; Magnoliopsida; Malpighiales; Euphorbiaceae.